UGGGGAAUAUUGGACAAUGGGCGCAAGCCUGAUCCAGCAAUGCCGCGUGUGUGAAGAAGGCCUUCGGGUUGUAAAGCACUUUUAUUAGGAGCGAAACGCUGUCGGCUAAUACCCGGCGGAACUGACGGUACCUGAGGAAUAAGCACCGGCUAACUUCGUGCCGAGCAGCCGCGGUAAUACGAAGGGUGCAAGCGUUAAUCGGAAUUACUGGGCGUAAAGCGUGCGUAGGCGGUUUCUUAAGUCUGCUGUGAAAUCCCCGGGCUCAACCUGGGAAUGGCAGUGGAUACUGGGAGGCUAGAGUGUGUCAGAGGGUGGUGGAAUUCCCGGUGUAGCGGUGAAAUGCGUAGAGAUCGGGAGGAACAUCAGUGGCGAAGGCGGCCACCUGGGACAACACUGACGCUGAGGCACGAAAGCGUGGGGAGCAAACAGGAUUAGAUACCCUGGUAGUCCACGCCCUAAAGCGAUGCGAACUGGAUGUUGGUCUCAACUCGGAGAUCAGUGUCGAAGCUAACGCGUUAAGUUCGCCGCC
This 529-nucleotide ribosomal RNA is filed under the name uncultured bacterium. Its description in RNAcentral is "partial 16S ribosomal RNA". It matches the Rfam family "Bacterial small subunit ribosomal RNA", at positions 355 to 873 of the family's 1533-position model. The record is from RNAcentral.